AUGCAAGUCGAACGAAGUAGCAAUACUUAGUGGCAGACGGGUGAGUAACAUGUGGGUAUCUUCCCUAUGGCCUGGAAUAACACGAGGAAACUUGUGCUAAUACCGGAUAAGUCUUUACGGAGAAAGCUUUAUGCACCAUUGGAUGAGCCCGCACUUGAUUAGUUUGUUGGUAGGGUAAUGGCCUACCAAGACUUUGAUCAAUAGCUGAUUUGAGAGGAUGAUCAGCCACAUUGGGACUGAGACACGGCCCAAACUCCUACGGGAGGCAGCAGUGGGGAAUCUUGCACAAUGGAGGAAACUCUGAUGCAGCGAUGCCGCGUGAGUGAAGAAGGCCUUUGGGUUGUAAAGCUCUUUCGUCGGGGAAGAAAAUGACUGUACCCGAAUAAGAAGGUCCGGCUAACUUCGUGCCAGCAGCCGCGGUAAUACGAAGGGACCUAGCGUAGUUCGGAAUUACUGGGCUUAAAGAGCUCGUAGGUGGUUGAAAAAGUUGGUGGUGAAAUCCCAGAGCUUAACUCUGGAACUGCCAUCAAAACUUUUCAGCUAGAGUAUGAUAGAGGAAAGCAGAAUUUCUAGUGUAGAGGUGAAAUUCGUAGAUAUUAGAAAGAAUACCAAUUGCGAAGGCAGCUUUCUGGAUCAUUACUGACACUGAGGAACGAAAGCAUGGGUAGCGAAGAGGAUUAGAUACCCUCGUAGUCCAUGCCGUAAACGAUGUGUGUUAGACGUUGGAAAUUUAUUUUCAGUGUCGCAGCGAAAGCAAUAAACACACCGCCUGGGGAGUACGACCGCAAGGUUAAAACUCAAAUGAAUUGACGGGGACCCGCACAAGUAGUGGAGCAUGUGGUUUAAUUCGAAGAUACGCGCAGAACCCUUACCAACACUUGACAUGUUCGUCGCGACUUUAAGAGAUUAAAGUUUUCG
This 918-nucleotide ribosomal RNA is filed under the name uncultured marine bacterium. RNAcentral's name for it is "bacterial SSU rRNA". It matches the Rfam family "Bacterial small subunit ribosomal RNA", at positions 55 to 1018 of the family's 1533-position model. The record is from RNAcentral.